GGGCGUAAGGGCUCGCAGGCGGUUUCUUAAGUCUGAUGUGAAAGCCCCCGGCUCAACCGGGGAGGGUCAUUGGAAACUGGGAAACUUGAGUGCAGAAGAGGAGAGUGGAAUUCCACGUGUAGCGGUGAAAUGCGUAGAGAUGUGGAGGAACACCAGUGGCGAAGGCGACUCUCUGGUCUGUAACUGACGCUGAGGAGCGAAAGCGUGGGGAGCGAACAGGAUUAGAUACCCUGGUAGUCCACGCCGUAAACGAUGAGUGCUAAGUGUUAGGGGGUUUCCGCCCCUUAGUGCUGCAGCUAACGCAUUAAGCACUCCGCCUGGGGAGUACGGUCGCAAGACUGAAACUCAAAGGAAUUGACGGGGGCCCGCACAAGCGGUGGAGCAUGUGGUUUAAUUCGAAGCAACGCGAAGAACCUUACCAGGUCUUGACAUCCUCUGACAACCCUAGAGAUAGGGCUUUCCCUUCGGGGACAGAGUGACAGGUGGUGCAUGGUUGUCGUCAGCUCGUGUCGUGAGAUGUUGGGUUAAGUCCCGCAACGAGCGCAACCCUUGAUCUUAGUUGCCAGCAUUCAGUUGGGCAC
This 581-nucleotide ribosomal RNA is filed under the name Bacillus subtilis. Its description in RNAcentral is "bacterial SSU rRNA". It matches the Rfam family "Bacterial small subunit ribosomal RNA", at positions 556 to 1138 of the family's 1533-position model. Lineage: Bacteria; Bacillati; Bacillota; Bacilli; Caryophanales; Bacillaceae. The record is from RNAcentral.